RNAcentral lists this ribosomal RNA (389 nucleotides) under uncultured bacterium. RNAcentral's name for it is "bacterial SSU rRNA". It matches the Rfam family "Bacterial small subunit ribosomal RNA", at positions 29 to 417 of the family's 1533-position model. The record is from RNAcentral.
AUUGAACGCUGGCGGCAUGCCUUACACAUGCAAGUCGAACGGCAGCACGGGGGCAACCCUGGUGGCGAGUGGCGAACGGGUGAGUAAUGCAUCGGAACGUGCCCAGUAGUGGGGGAUAACUAGUCGAAAGAUUAGCUAAUACCGCAUACGACCUACGGGUGAAAGCGGGGGACCUUUACCGGCCUCGCGCUAUCGGAGCGGCCGAUGUCUGAUUAGCUAGUUGGCGGGGUAAAAGCCCACCAAGGCGACGAUCAGUAGCUGGUCUGAGAGGACGACCAGCCACACUGGGACUGAGACACGGCCCAGACUCCUACGGGAGGCAGCAGUGGGGAAUUUUGGACAAUGGGCGCAAGCCUGAUCCAGCCAUGCCGCGUGCGGGAAGAAGGCCU